RNAcentral lists this ribosomal RNA (497 nucleotides) under uncultured bacterium. Its description in RNAcentral is "partial 16S ribosomal RNA". It matches the Rfam family "Bacterial small subunit ribosomal RNA", at positions 28 to 507 of the family's 1533-position model. The record is from RNAcentral.
GAUGAACGCUGGCGGCGUGCCUAAUACAUGCAAGUCGAGCGAACAGACGAGGAGCUUGCUCCUCUGACGUUAGCGGCGGACGGGUGAGUAACACGUGGAUAACCUACCUAUAAGACUGGGAUAACUUCGGGAAACCGGAGCUAAUACCGGAUAAUAUAUUGAACCGCAUGGUUCAAUAGUGAAAGACGGUUUUGCUGUCACUUAUAGAUGGAUCCGCGCCGCAUUAGCUAGUUGGUAGGGUAACGGCUUACCAAGGCAACGAUGCGUAGCCGACCUGAGAGGGUGAUCGGCCACACUGGAACUGAGACACGGUCCAGACUACUACGGGAGGCAGCAGUAGGGAAUCUUCCGCAAUGGGCGAAAGCCUGACGGAGCAACGCCGCGUGAGCGAUGAAGGUCUUCGGAUCGUAAAACUCUGUUAUUAGGGAAGAACAAAUGUGUAAGUAACUAUGCACGUCUUGACGGUACCUAAUCAGAAAGCCACGGCUAACUACGUG